UACGGAGGGUGCAAGCGUUAUCCGGAUUCACUGGGUUUAAAGGGUGCGUAGGCGGCCCGGUAAGUCAGUGGUGAAAGCUCUCAGCUUAACUGAGAAACUGCCAUUGAAACUGCCAGGCUUGAAUACAGUUGAAGUAGGCGGAAUACAACAUGUAGCGGUGAAAUGCUUAGAUAUGUUGUAGAACACCGAUUGCGAAGGCAGCUUACUAAGCUGUGAUUGACGCUGAGGCACGAAAGCGUGGGGAGCGAACAGG
This 253-nucleotide ribosomal RNA is filed under the name uncultured bacterium. RNAcentral describes it as "partial 16S ribosomal RNA". It matches the Rfam family "Bacterial small subunit ribosomal RNA", at positions 524 to 776 of the family's 1533-position model. The record is from RNAcentral.